GCUGGCGGCGUGCCUAAUACAUGCAAGUCGAGCGGACAGAUGGGAGCUUGCUCCCUGAUGUUAGCGGCGGACGGGUGAGUAACACGUGGGUAACCUGCCUGUAAGACUGGGAUAACUCCGGGAAACCGGGGCUAAUACCGSAUGSUUGUUUGAACCGCAUGGUUCAGACAUAAAAGGUGGCUUCGGCUACCACUUACAGAUGGACCCGCGGCGCAUUAGCUAGUUGGUGAGGUAACGGCUCACCAAGGCAACGAUGCGUAGCCGACCUGAGAGGGUGAUCGGCCMCACUGGGAYUGAGACACGRCCCAGACUCCUACGGGAGGCAGCAGUAGGGAAUCWUCCGCAAUGGACGAAAGUCUGASGGAGCAACGCCSCGUGAGUGAYGAAGGUUUUCGGAUCGUAAAGCUCUGUUGUUAGGGAAGAACAASUSCCGUUCAAAUAGGGCGGCACCUUGACGGUACCUAACCAGAAAGCCACGGCUAACYACGUGCCAGCAGCCGCGGUAAUACGUAGGUGGCAAGCGUUGUCCGGAAUUAUUGGGCGUAAAGGGCUCGCAGRCGGUUUCUURAGUMUGAUGUGAAASCCCCCGGCUCAACCGGGGAGGGUCAUUGGAAACUGGGGAACUUGAGUGCAGAAGAGGAGAGUGGAAUUCCACGSGUAGCGGU
RNAcentral lists this ribosomal RNA (665 nucleotides) under Bacillus sp. BAB-5115. RNAcentral describes it as "partial 16S ribosomal RNA". It matches the Rfam family "Bacterial small subunit ribosomal RNA", at positions 35 to 682 of the family's 1533-position model. Lineage: Bacteria; Bacillati; Bacillota; Bacilli; Caryophanales; Bacillaceae. The record is from RNAcentral.